Molecule: unclassified non-coding RNA, 344 nt
Filed under: soil metagenome
Description: partial contains 5.8S ribosomal RNA, internal transcribed spacer 2, and large subunit ribosomal RNA
Rfam family: 5.8S ribosomal RNA (bases 1-120)
Source: RNAcentral
GAUGAAGAACGUAGCGAAAUGCGAUACGUAAUGUGAAUUGCAGAAUUCAGUGAAUCAUCGAGUCUUUGAACGCACAUUGCGCCCCCUGGUAUUCCGGGGGGCAUGCCUGUCCGAGCGUCAUUGCUGCCCUCAAGCACGGCUUGUGUGUUGGGCCUCCGUCCUCCUCCCGGGGGACGGGCCCGAAAGGCAGCGGCGGCACCGCGUCCGGUCCUCGAGCGUAUGGGGCUUCGUCACCCGCUCUUGUAGGCCCGGCCGGCGCUUGCCGACACAUCAAUCUUUUUUCCAAGUUGACCUCGGAUCAGGUAGGGAUACCCGCUGAACUUAAGCAUAUCAAUAAGCGGAGG